Molecule: transfer RNA, 78 nt
Filed under: Parcubacteria group bacterium ADurb.Bin305
Lineage: Bacteria
Also listed under: 1 other name
Description: tRNA-Glu
Rfam family: tRNA
About the family: Transfer RNA (tRNA) molecules are approximately 80 nucleotides in length.
Source: RNAcentral
GCCGUUAUCGUCUAGUUUGGUUUAGGACGCCACCCUCUCACGGUGGAAACAUGGGUUCAAAUCCCGUUAACGGCGCCA